GUCUUUCGUUGUGAUGUGUAUUCUCAUUCUUGCCGAGUUUCACAAAAACGAGUUCUACGUUUAAUGUACAUUAAACACAGAUUGGUGAAGUCUUAGAUGAAACAUAAAAUCGUGAGAAUGAUUAGAAGAACGUGAAACAUAUGGAUUUACAAACCGUUGCAUGUUAAUAUGAUAGAAUGAAGAAGUGUGUUACUGAAAUUGAAAAACGUAAUACGAGAAGUGGGGCGACUGCUUUGAUCAAACGUUGUGAAUUAACAAUUGCAUCAUGCUUUCCAUACCUUUUGCUGUUUGAGGUGUAUUUUUUGUUUAAAAGUUGUUACUUAACAUUAUAAUGAAGGAAUAAGUUUCAGUGGUUAGUGUAAAAGGUCGCCAAUACUUUUGCAAUGCUGUUUAAUGCUAGUUCGAAAACUGCUUUAGUUCUUUAAUGGGCAGUUUUCUGGGUAUCUAUAACAGUAGCUGAUUGAUUAGAACAAUUAUCAGUGUCAUUCAUAUAUAAUUUCAUACGUACUGAUAUCGGAAAUGUAGACAACAAUAAUUUGGAUAAUAAUUUGCGCUUAUAUUGUGAUAUGUAUGUACACCCAUUUAAACACGGCCCAAAUUAAUUAUUGUUACAGUUGAAUCUCGCACACGACUUCACAGAGGCUAACGUACACUCGCCUAAUUCGAAGUGUCGCAACUCGAUAUCGGAUAUCGGAUUAAUACAUAUUGUAGGUCUUAGUUAUUAACUGAUGGACAAUACAAACAAUUGAUUGAAAUUUACUUCGCAACUGCAACUGUGCAUGCGAUUAAAAUCGCAACUCCUAUUAGGUACUGCAGUGAUAAUACAUCAUUUUGUGAACUCCAGGUGAAGAACAGCAACAAAUGUAUUACGGACUUUGUGGCCGAGCGGUUAGCACACGGGAAAUCCUCCACUAGUUCAGUGGGUAUUUUGUGAUCCGUUGUUUAAUGUUAGUGUUCAUUCAGUCUGUGGAGCCUCUGAUUUAAUAAGAUGUAGUUUUUUUUAUGGAAAAUUGUUAUGAAACUUUUGAGGAAUGAUAAUAGGAAGGUUACACGCUUUCAAAUUUGAGAGAGGAGAUAUUACAAGCAAUCUGGAAAUUCAUAGAAAAGGAAAUACUUUGGUUGAGAGUAGAAACAUUUUUAUAGUGAAUGUAUUCGAUUAUAUUUCUGAAAUUUGUGCGGCGGCAUUUAGUCGUUUACAAGGUCGUUUAGGUAUUAUCUGCUCGAUUAAUCCUUAGCUGAUUUCCACAUUUAUUGUGGAAGACAUGAACAUCAAAUGAAGUUGAUGUACUGGCGACCAUCCAUGACGAUUUUGUACAUUUGCUGAUGCAGGAAGAUUUUUCUCUGAACUUUUUUUUUUUCGAGUAGGGAAGGAAUGUAGAGAUAUAUACUAGGAGUAUUCGUUUCAGUGUGGCAAUACAGAAUCCAACUAUAUUGGGCUGUCAAACAGAACAACAACAACACGCGGGAGGCAAUUAGGUGCAGGAAUUAGGAACGAACGGCGGUGAUGUGCGGCGAACAGUUUAGGACGCGCGUAAUCGACGGAACUGGAUUGCUCGGCUCCCAACGGACGACUCUACAGGGCGCUGUCAGUGUUUGGACGAAAAAGUGAUCAGUGAACCACUCGGCAGUUUUUCUUCCCUUCUGUUGGUUCUGUUUCAAUUACCAAGCGGUGUAUGUUCUCUCGUCGAGUCGCAUGGUUCACGAAGGAACACAAAGAGGAUACUCCGAUAUAAACAAGCUGCGGCGAUGAGCGGGCAUCGCUAAGUGUAACACUUACCGAUGAUCGCUCAUCGUUGGCUUGGGGCAACUGUGAAUAAUCGUUAUUUUCAUCAGUAUUUAAUGCGUUUUCGCUUUAAAAACGUGAAAUACUAUUUAAUUUAACUGUAUUCAUGACGUUGCAGGUUGUGUAGUCACAAUAAAAAAAGAAUUAUGGCAAUAACAUAUUCUAACCGAAUGCAUCGCUUUCAUUAGCGUCAUCGAGCAUCUUCUCUCUUGAUUGCGCUCUCGUAUCGAACCGGGCAAGAGAAUGAUCAGCAUUUCGGGGAGCGUUCCCGAGCAUGUUGGUUCAUGAAAUGUUACAUUCGCGAAUGUAUCACUUGCUGAGCAUGGACCAUUCAGUGGUUCGUGAUAAAAAUCCACACACUGGGCGCUGUAUAGCGCACAAGGUGUACAAUACAGCGCCCCACUUCCGACAUUGUGUUUAACGCAAGGCAAAAGCAGCGGAAGUCAAAGAAAAAAUGUCGCUAAUUCGGUUUUGAACUGGAAACAUAAUAUGCAUAAAUCUUAGAGUGCUUGCUGUCACCUACUCGUAGCGGAUACAUAUGUAAAUAAAGAAGUCAGUUCUAUUCAGACCAACGUCGAGUGUAAGAGUGAAAGAGAAGAAGAUAAUUUUAUGCAGUUCCCUAUAUACGGAUAGCCAUUGCUGUGUGCACGAUUGAGGCGAGGGUAUCCAAAAUUUACGCUUCAUGCUCUUUUUUGGUUUGUAUUGAAAGUGUUUCCCAAUGCGUUGUGCAUUGCGGAAUAUAUUUGUUUGUGGAAUGGAUGCCGCGCCUAAAGAAAAUAGGCUCAACCAUAAUUGAACACACCAUAAUUUGAUACACCAGGCGAAGUAUUGAGUCAACGACCAACUGUAAGUAAAUAUUUUGUUGAUAAUAAUUACGAGUGAAGUCACGUUACUUUAAGGUAUUUGCGUUUGUUUUAUUAAUAGAGGUUUAUGUUGAGUUGCGUUUGAUUUAUUUUUUGAGAAGUGGUGUGUGAAGGGGGUACAAAAUGUAGCACACUAUUGCAACAGUAGUUCACAUUUCUAAUUUUAUACCAGGUACCAGGUUCACUACUUGAGUGCAUUGGAGACAGAAAUCUGAAUGGAUGCAGUGAAAUGGGUCGAGCACCGGAUUCACUGCUUAUGAAAAAGAUAAUGAUUCUAGAUUAGUUGAUUAAAACAAGUGAAAUGGGUUGUAUACCUGAUUCAUUAUAAUUAGGUGCAUUGUAUGAGAUGAAAACAAAUGCGUUGAAAUGAGUCGAGUACUGGAUUCACUGGUAGUUAAAAAAACAAUUGUUGAGAGGAGUUUAUUACUGGGAUAUAUUUUGAAAUAGACGAAGUGUAUAAGAGACUCAAAUAUAAAAUGAUUCAGUGAAAUGGGUCGAGUACCGGAUUCACUGAUGAUUCUAGGUUAUUUGGUAGUGGAGCUGAUAUGUACUUCUAGAUUGGUUGAUUGAACGAAGUGAAAUGGGUUGCAUACCGGAUUCACUUACGUUAAAACGGUAUAAUGCGCCCCACCGGGGCAAAACGCCUUCCUUCAUUUUCUUGCGAUUCAAGCGCUUUUCGCAUGCGUGAUCGAUUAGAAAUCUUAAAUAUUGAAGGAAAGCAAUAAAAAUAUCAAAAAGUCUGAAAUCGAGGCUUUUGGCGUAAUAUUUUACCUCUUGUAAGCUGGCUUCAUUGUAAACGAAGCAAGUUCUGUUCGCUUGUGUUAUUUUGCAACUUGUAUGCAGUUAAACACUCGUUAAAAGACCCUCAGAGGAAAAGCAUGUGGUAGUAUUAUCCCCUGGUACACUUUUAUCACGGGGCUUGACGUUUUAAUUUGAUGGGGCGUAUUGUCCCGUUUGUUUUGAAAAGGCAAAUUCUGGAACGUUUUCGAAAAACGUUUCAAAGCUUCCAUAGUCGCCCCUCCAGAGGCAAAGUUCCCAUGCAACACUUCACUGACUUUAGGAACAACGAUUUGCAGUGGACAAUAGAUGGAAUAAGGCGCCAGUUUGAGAUACACUCAGAAAUAAAAGUAUACACUGCAUUACUAUUAUUUAUGCAUUUUGUAUCGGCAUCUCUCUCACUCUCUUUCUGUUUUCAUGCUAUCUGGUGCUUCGCCUGGGUUGACGAAACACUUCUCUUCAACCCAGGCUAAACGGCAGAUAGCAUGAAAACAGAAAGAGAGUGAGAGAGAUGCGGAUACAAAAUGCAUAAAUAAUAGUAAUUCCGUGUAUACUUUUAUUUCUGAGUGUAUAUUGCCAUUUCUGCUUAAGGGGGGCAUAUUAUACCUGUUUACCCUAUUAGGCGCAUUAUUUCCAUAUGGUAUUGGUUCUCUUAUUAAGCAUGUGGCAUUUUCAUCCUACGAAAAACAAAGGAUUGAAGCGCUGUUUGUUUUGUUUCUUAUUUUUGUUUUUUUUUGUUAGAAGUGAGCAACCGGUUCCGGUACACAACGGGUUCAGAUAUGGUCUGAAACUAUUUUCCUGCUUAUCGUUCAUCUUGUUACCGAAACAGCCGCUGUUUGAUGUGUCGCAUGCCUGGGUUUGGUUCUUUUUUUUAAUUGGCUACUUCCAGCGGGACACCUGGAACCGGUUCGGGAGCACAACCGGUUCAGAUAUGGUCUGAAACUAUUUUACUGCUUAUCGUUCAUCUGGUUAUCGAUACAGCCGCUAUUUGGUGUGUCGCAUGCAUGGGUUUGGUUCACUUUUUUAGUUGGCCACUUCCGGCGGGACACCUGGAACUGGUUCUGAAACACCAUCGGUUCAGAUAUAGUCUGAAACUACUUUCCUGCUUACCGUUCAUCAGGUUAUCGCAAAAGCCACAGUUCGAUGUGUCGCAUGCCUGGGUUUGGUUCUUUUUUUAAUUGGCUACUUCCAGCGGGACACCUGGAACCGGUUCCGGAACACAACCGGUUCAGAUAUGGUUUGAAACUAUUUUACUGCUUACCGUUCAUCUGAUUAUCGAUACAGCCGCUAUUUGGUGUGUUGCAUGCAUGGGUUUGGUUCACUUUUUUAGUUGGCCACUUCCGGCGGGACACCUGGAACCGGUUCUGAAACACUACUGGUUCAGAUAUAGUCUGAAACUACUUUCCUGCUUACCGUUCAUCAGGUUAUCGCAAAAGCCACAGUUCGAUGUGUCGCAUGCCUGGGUUUGGUUCUUUUUUUAAUUGGCUACUUCCAGCGGGACACCUGGAACCGGUUCCGGAACACAACCGGUUCAGAUAUGGUUUGAAACUAUUUUACUGCUUACCGUUCAUCUGAUUAUCGAUACAGCCGCUAUUUGGUGUGUUGCAUGCAUGGGUUUGGUUCACUUUUUUAGUUGGCCACUUCCGGCGGGACACCUGGAACCGGUUCUGAAACACUACUGGUUCAGAUAUAGUCUGAAACUACUUUCCUGCUUACCGUUCAUCAGGUUAUCGCAAAAGCCGCAAUUCGAUGUGUCGCAUGCCUGGGUUUGUUUUUUUAAUUAGCUACUUCCAGUGGGACACCUGGAACCGGUUCCGGAACACAAUUGGUUCAGAUAUGGUCUGAAACUAUUUUCCUGCUUACCGUUCAUCUGGUUAUCGAUACAGCUGCUAUAUGGUGUGUCGCAUGCCUGGGUUUGGUUCACUUUUUAAUUGGCCACUCCCAGCGGGACACCUGGAACCGGUUCCGGAACACAACCGGUUCAGAUAUGGUUUGAAACUAUUCUCCUGCUUACCGUUCAUCAUGUUAUCGAAAAAGCCGCUGUUUGAUGUGUCGCAUGCCUGGGUUUGGUUCUUUUUUUAAUUGGCUACUUCCAGCGGGACACCUGGAACCGGUUCCGGAACACAACCGGUUCAGAUAUGGUUUGAAACUAUUUUACUGCUUACCGUUCAUCUGGUUAUCGAUACAGCCGCUAUUUGGUGUGUCGCAUGCAUGGGUUUGGUUCACUUUUUUAGUUGGCCACUUCCGGCGGGACACCUGGAACCGGUUCUGGAACACUACGGAUUCAAAUAUAGUCUGAAACUACUUUCCUGCUCACCAUUCAGAUGGUUAUCGAAAAUGCCGCUAUUUGACGCAUGCAUGGGUUAUGUUCACUUUUAUAUUUGGCCACUUCCGACGGGACACCCGGAACCGGUUCCGGAACACUACCGGUUCAGUUAUAGUCUGAGACUAUUUUUCUACUUCCCGUUCAUCAGAUAAUCGAAAAUGCAGUGGUUUGAUGGGUCGCAUGCAUGGGUUUGUUGCAUUUUUAUAUCUGGCCCCUUCCUGGGGUACCGGUUCGGAACACCUAAAUGGCCAUAACUCCGGAACGGCUGGACCGAUCUGAACCAUUUUCAAUAGGAAACAAUGGGGCAAUAUACCGCGUCGAAUGAACCAUCGGUCGUUGAAAUCGGUUCAUAUUUACUAUCUAAAAACCCUAAUUAAUCCACCUAGCGGUGAUGGUGCCUUUCUCGUGCUUUAAAAUAUCCUUUCAACAAAACUCAAGCGACGUGUUGAUGACAUUGACAUAAAUACAAAAUGAAAACUGCUUGCUAAAUCUACCUAAUAUGGAUACAUUUUAUAUUAGCAUAACAUCCAAUAUUCAGAAAAAAUAAGACAACGAUCCAAAAUUCAAACCAAACAAGUGUUAUGAAGCCGCAAAAUUUCGAAACGUCAUUUAAGAUUUUCCGGUCAUCAUUUUUUGACUCCGGAUAUCUACGCCAACUAAACUAAGCGCCAUCUUGAAUAUUAGGACACCAUCUUGGAUGUUCUGGUAUACAUUUUUGGACUCUGCACCUAAAAUGACAUAAAAUACAGUCGGAACCCGCUCGUUGAGCCACAACCUCCACCCAACCAACGAAUUCGAUUCGCUAGUUGGGUGAAGUGACAGCAGCACAAGGGGCGUGCUCAUUGUUUAAUUGUACAUAUUCUUUCUUUUUUUAAGAAAUCUCUCUGAUAACAUGUCAAACCACCACAAUCGGGCAAGACAAAGUUUGCCGGGACAGCUAGUAUGAAAUAUAAAUUCUUUUCGAUUAUCAGUAAAGUUUAAGAAACCAAAAACUCAUUAGCUCGCCCCUCGGAAUUACAGAUUGGUUGUCAUUUUCAGUUUGACAUUGAAUUAUGACAUCCAGGUACUUUUUAGUUGGCUGACAGCUCAACUAACGAGGCCCCAACUAAAAAGUCACCCAACUAUUAAGCUCCCAACCAGCGGGUCAUGACUGUAGUCACCGUAUUGAAGUUUGGCAUGCCGUCUAUGAUUUUCUGGUUACCUGUUUUGGACGAAGACCGGCAUUCUUCCCCACUUAAACUAUAGUCAUAUUGCAGACCUUGUGAAACAGCGCACAGCUUGGGUUUUCUGAUUACAAAUUCGCAACACAAGCAAUCAAACUACUGUCCGAAACAAAAAUGUCAAACGAAUGCACUUCACGACGAUUCUGGACUUGUUUUCCGUAAGAAUAAGUCUACUCUUCUUGGUGGUUAAACAUAAAGUCAUUUAUUUCUGUUUCAUUACAAACGUUGAAGGUUCUUAAGCUAAUUCAUUAAGCUAAUGGUUUUGGUGGGAGAAGUUUAGAUACAAUUAUUUACCGAUCGUCCAAUCACAGGAAAGUAGAAAUGACAAAACAUCUACCAAUAUGUGCGCGCGAACACGGCACUGGUAUGUUCUAGAUGUGCGCCGAUGGCUUAAGCCAAAGAUAGGGAGAAAGAGAACAGAAUUGCAAAGCGCACUACCCGCAUAGAGAAAUACAGUUUGUCUUAAUCUCCAAACAGUAAAUUUAAUGUAUCUGUUGUUGUUAAUGUAUAACAAACAGUUGCUUUUAUGUUGAAGAUUAUGAGGUUCAACGCGUUCAACUAUAAAUCACAGUCUAUGCAAUCCAUACCAAUUGGUGACAUUAUAUUACACUGUGCAGAUAUUGUUGAAUGUUAUGAUGAUGGAAACUCACAAAUAAUGGUGGCAAUAUUAAAUCACAUUAUGUCAAACUGUUUGUGCUCCUUCUGUGCAACACACUGACACACAUGCGUAAAAAUGGUUAGUUACUAAUGUUGAACAAUAUGACAAACAGUUGCACGCAUAAGUAUUUGUGAAUCAAUGAAAACUGGCUGACGGCUGUAAACUUUCAAAACAAAGGGAAAAAAUAAGAGUAGAAAAAUGUGAAAAUUGCAAUUUUUGUAAGUUUGUAAAUAUCUGCCGCAAAUAAUUGUUGCAUUGGAGCAUGAGCAGAAGUUCACGUGAUGGUAGCGACGGAACCGAAGCGGUUCCCACCAGGAGACGUUUAUAGCCGUCCUCAUUGGGAGCCUACACGGCAUCACUCCGGUGACCAACUCCCCUUUCAUCUAGAAUGCCUGCCGUCUAUACCGCGCACCAUCCGGACGGCUCAGCGACAAGGCAAGAUGUGCAUCGUCCACUUAAAGUGAGAAAUUUAGCAGCAGAAAGAUGUUGGUGUUUCUACGGGUGGACACUGGACAGUGAAGUCGUCUGACACCGGUCUGCACGACCGACGACGGAGUUGGAGAAGCAGAAGGACACGUUUUUUAUAGGUAUAUGAGAUUGUAAUUAAUAAAUAUAUUUGUUUUAUUGAUUAA
Long non-coding RNA from Aedes albopictus (Asian tiger mosquito), 8262 nucleotides. RefSeq lists it as uncharacterized. The transcript is spliced from 2 exons. The record is from RefSeq and is a predicted model, not a curated record. NCBI's taxonomy places the organism in Eukaryota, Metazoa, Arthropoda, Insecta, Diptera, Culicidae.